Molecule: ribosomal RNA, 512 nt
Filed under: Baratha pushta
Lineage: Eukaryota; Metazoa; Arthropoda; Malacostraca; Decapoda; Gecarcinucidae
Description: partial 16S ribosomal RNA
Rfam family: Archaeal large subunit ribosomal RNA
Source: RNAcentral
UCUACUUGCUAAUAUAAGAAGUCUAACCUGCCCACUGAUAGUUAUAAGUUUAAGGGCCGCGGUAUUAUGACUGUGCAAAGGUAGCAUAAUCAUUAGGUUUUUAAAUGGAAUCUUGUAUGAAUGGUUGGACAAGAGAAAAGCUGUCUUUGUAUUAGAUUUGAAUUUAACUUUUAAGUGAGAAGGCUUAAAUAAUCUAGGGGGACGAUAAGACCCUAUAAAAUUUUACAUUAUGAUUAUAUUUUAUAGAAUUUGAAUAAUAAUAAUUUAUUUAAUUAUUUUGUUUUGUUGGGGCGACAAAAGUAAAAAUUAUACUAACUGCUUUGUAUAAAACCAGUUAUAAAUGAGUAUCAAAAAUAGUGAUCCUAAUUAUUGAUUUAAAGAUUAAGUUACUUUAGGGAUAACAGUGUUAUUUUUUUUGAGAGUUCAUAUCGAAAAAAAAGUUUGCAACCUCGAUGUUGAAUUAAAAUAUCUAUAUAAUGUAGCUGUUAUAUAAGAAGGUCUGUUCGACCUUU